UACGUAGGAGGCAAGCGUUGUCCGGAAUCAUUGGGCGUAAAGAGCGUGUAGGCGGUCCGGUAAGUCGGCUGUGAAAGUCCAGGGCUCAACCCUGGGAUGCCGGUCGAUACUGCCGGACUAGAGUUCGGAAGAGGCGAGUGGAAUUCCCGGUGUAGCGGUGAAAUGCGUAGAUAUCAGGGGGAACACCAAUGGCGAAGGCAGCUCGCUGGGACGUGACUGACGCUGAGACGCGAAAGCGUGGGGAGCAAACAGG
This 253-nucleotide ribosomal RNA is filed under the name uncultured bacterium. Its description in RNAcentral is "partial 16S ribosomal RNA". It matches the Rfam family "Bacterial small subunit ribosomal RNA", at positions 524 to 776 of the family's 1533-position model. The record is from RNAcentral.